GCCGGGGUGCCCGAGCGGUUUAAGGGGCUGGCCUGGAGAGCCAGUGGGCUAUCUGCCCGCGCGGGUUCGAAUCCCGCCCCCGGCG
This 85-nucleotide transfer RNA is filed under the name Staphylothermus marinus. RNAcentral's name for it is "tRNA-Ser". It matches the Rfam family "tRNA". From Rfam's summary of the family: Transfer RNA (tRNA) molecules are approximately 80 nucleotides in length. Their secondary structure includes four short double-helical elements and three loops (D, anti-codon, and T loops). The record is from RNAcentral. RNAcentral also lists the same sequence under 1 other name. Lineage: Archaea; Thermoproteati; Thermoproteota; Thermoprotei; Desulfurococcales; Desulfurococcaceae.